This 565-nucleotide ribosomal RNA is filed under the name uncultured fungus. Its description in RNAcentral is "eukaryotic LSU rRNA". The stretch from base 149 to 302 matches the Rfam family "5.8S ribosomal RNA". Lineage: Eukaryota; Fungi. The record is from RNAcentral.
AAGAAUACCGGCUUCGCAGCCAAUAUUCUCGCCCUCUGUAUACCAAACUUUGUUGCUUUGGCAGGCCCCUGGCUUCAGCUGGACUGUGCCUGCCAGAGGACCCCUAACUCUUGAAUGCCUGCUGUCUGAGUACUAUCUAAAUAGUUAAAACUUUCAACAACGGAUCUCUUGGUUCUGGCAUCGAUGAAGAACGCAGCGAAAUGCGAUAAGUAAUGUGAAUUGCAGAAUUUAGUGAAUCAUCGAAUCUUUGAACGCACCUUGCACCCUUUGGUAUUCCGAAGGGUACACCCGUUUGAGUGUCAUUGUAAUCUCACCUCUUCGACUUUUUUUAUGGUCGAUCAGUGUGGACUUGGAUGUUGCUGUGUAACAAACGGCUCGUCUGAAAUGCCUUAGUGUACCCUGCUUUGCGGCGUAUUCGGGUGUGAUAAAUCUUCACCGGAGUUUCGACUUUCGGGUCGGCGCUUGUAAUGUUUUGGCUCUAUGCUUCGAACCGUCCCUAACAAGGACAAACUAUACUCUGACAAUUUGACCUCAAAUCGGGGUGGGACUACCCGCUGAACUUUAA